This 1251-nucleotide ribosomal RNA is filed under the name Triticum aestivum (bread wheat). RNAcentral's name for it is "partial small subunit ribosomal RNA". The record is from RNAcentral. Lineage: Eukaryota; Viridiplantae; Streptophyta; Magnoliopsida; Poales; Poaceae.
ACAAAUCGCGGCACCGGCUCCAUUAAUCCAGUGAUGAUCACCUCUUCAGCGAGGCAUAUUCGGCUUCCCACCCCGCAUUUCGCCAAGCCCAAGCGCCACCGCCGCUCAGGCCCAGCCCGCAUGGACCCCACCGACCAGUCGCCGGAGGAGGUGUACUCCGUGUGGGCCCUCCCGCCGGAGCCCGUCCGCGACCGCCUCCGCGGCCUCAUGGCCGGCCUCCGCGCCGCGCACGGCGGCCCGCCCUUCGAGCCGCACGCCACCGUCGUCGGCGCCGUGCGCAUGCGCCGCCCCGCCGCAAUCCAGGCCCUCCGCGCCGCCGCUGCGGCCGCCGACGUCGCCCCCUACACCGCCCGCGUCACCGGCGUCGCCCGCGGCGACUUCUUCUACCAGUGCGUCUACCUCCUCCUCGAGCCCACCCCCGAGGUGAUCCACACAAGCGACCACUUCUGCGCCCACUUCGGGUUUCAGAGAUCAACCCCAUAUAUGCCACAUGUAAGCCUCUUGUAUGGGGAUCUAACAGACGAAGAGAAGGAAGCAGCAAGGAAGAAAGUAGAGGAAAUGGACAGUGAAAUUUCUGGACUGCAGUUCGAGAUCUCCGAGCUCGCACUUUAUCGAACCGACACCGAGGAUAAAAGCUUGGAGUCCUGGGAACUGGUGGAGGUAUGCCACCUUGGGAAGAAGUGAUCGGUUCCUCCCGAUGAUAUGCUUCUGCUGUAAGUUGUGACUGCUCUUGGGGUCUUGUAAUAUUAUGUUUUCACCUUUAAGUGUUUGAUGUAAUGAUGUGAAUGUCUAGCACCCCUGUUGCUUUGAAUAAGGAAUAAUGUGAACAUUGGACCUACCUUGGGGCUUACCUUGCCACUUGUGGGUUUUAAUACAAAGUUGACCAAUAUUGCCUUUCGUCUAAAAUAUAUCUUGGGAUUUCUUUCAAAAAUAACUUUGAUGAUUUACAGUGUGUUGAUUUAUUCAAUAGAACUUGUUGAAAUGCAAAGCAGGUGCUCAGAACUAUAAACUAGUUGAGCUUAACUAACAUUGUAAAAGCCUGAGUUUAUCUUUUGUAUUCCCUCAAGAAUACUUUCCAUGAUCAGAUGAUUAACUAAUGACUGAGAUAUAUCCCAUCAAGCUCAUCAUAGCUGAAGACGCAUAUAAUGCUGCAUAUUUAGGUGACACAAGACAUUCUAUGUACUGCACAUUAUUUGUGAUGCAGCACUACAGUACCGCAUACAAUGGUCAGUACUCUGUACUAUCUAGUCC